This 94-nucleotide transfer RNA is filed under the name Shimia ponticola. RNAcentral's name for it is "Shimia sp. WX04 tRNA-Asp(atc)". Lineage: Bacteria; Pseudomonadati; Pseudomonadota; Alphaproteobacteria; Rhodobacterales; Roseobacteraceae. The record is from RNAcentral.
GGCAUCGCUGGGGUGCGGCUGGUCACGCCGGAUGGUGUUAUCGUCACCACGGAUGAAUUUGGCCGCUUCAGCGUUCCAUGUGCCGCGCUGCCGC